CGCCGGGUAGCUACACUGAUUCGGGAUAACCGCUGAAAGCAUCUAAGCGGGAAGCCCAUCCCAAGAUGAGGAAUCCCAUUAAGAUCCCUGGGAGACUACCAGGUGAUAGGCAGCCGGUGUAAGUGCCGUAAGGCAUUUAGCCUAGCUGUACUAAUCGAUCGAUCGAAA
Molecule: ribosomal RNA, 168 nt
Filed under: Candidatus Beckwithbacteria bacterium
Lineage: Bacteria; Candidatus Beckwithiibacteriota
Description: partial 23S ribosomal RNA
Rfam family: Bacterial large subunit ribosomal RNA
Source: RNAcentral